RNAcentral lists this ribosomal RNA (2379 nucleotides) under Triticum aestivum (bread wheat). RNAcentral's name for it is "partial small subunit ribosomal RNA". Lineage: Eukaryota; Viridiplantae; Streptophyta; Magnoliopsida; Poales; Poaceae. The record is from RNAcentral.
AUGGCGUCCACGGCUCCUCCGCGGGAGGACCUCAUCACGGAGGACGACGAGCAGCGGCCGCCCCUCACGCGGCCCCUCCUCCACCGCAGCGCCACCAACAACAUCUCCCAGGUGGCCAUGGUCGGCUCCAAGGCCUGCCCCAUCGAGAGCCUCGACUACGAGAUCAUCGAGAACGACCUGUUCGACCAGAACUGGCGGACGAGGGCCAAGGCGGACCAGGUCCGGUACGUGGUCCUCAAAUGGACCUUCUGCUUCGCCAUCGGGAUCAUCACCGGCGUCGUCGGCUUCCUCAUCAACCUCGCCGUCGAGAACGUCGCCGGCUUCAAGCACGCCGCCGUCUCAUCCCUCAUGGAAUCCAGCAGCUACUGGACGGCCUUCUGGGUGUUCGCCGGCGCGAACCUGGCGCUGCUACUAUUCGCGUCGGCGAUCACGGCGUCGGUGUCGCCGGCGGCCGGCGGGUCGGGGAUCCCGGAGGUGAAGGCGUACCUCAACGGCGUGGACGCGCCCAACAUCUUCUCGCUCAGGACCCUCGCUGUCAAGGUCAUCGGCAACAUAGCCGCCGUGUCAUCGUCGCUGCACGUCGGCAAGGCCGGGCCAAUGGUGCACACGGGCGCGUGCAUAGCCGCCAUCUUCGGCCAGGGCGGGUCGCGCAGGUACGGCCUCACCUGGCGCUGGCUACGCUACUUCAAGAACGACCGCGACCGCCGCGACCUGGUCACCAUCGGCGCCGGCGCCGGUGUCAGCGCGGCGUUCCGCGCACCGGUCGGCGGCGUGCUCUUCGCUCUCGAGUCCCUCUCCUCGUGGUGGCGGAGCGCGCUGAUCUGGCGCUCCUUCUUCACGACGGCGGUGGUGGCGGUGGUGCUGCGGCUGUUCGUGGAGCUGUGCGGGACGGGGCGGUGCGGGAUGUUCGGCAAGGGCGGGCUCAUCAUGUACGACGUGAGCACCAUGUUCGAGGACCUCAUGACGUACCACCUCAAGGACAUCCCCAUCGUCGUCCUCAUCGGCGUCAUCGGCGCCGUCCUCGGCGCCUUCUACAACUUCCUCAUGAUGCAGGUCCUCCGCGUCUACAGCGUCGUCAACGAGCGCGGCCGCGCGCACAAGCUGCUGCUGGCGGCGGCCGUGUCCGUCCUGACGUCGUGCUGCGUGUUCGGCAUGCCGUGGUUCGCGCCGUGCCGGCCCUGCCCCGUCGCGGGGCCCAACGGCGCCUGCGGCUCCCUCAACAAGUUCCGGCGGUUCCACUGCCCGCCGGACCACUACAACGACCUGGCCAGCCUCAUGCUCAACAUCAACGACGACGCCAUCCGCAACCUCUACGCCACCGGCACCAACGACGUCUACCACCCGGGCUCCAUGCUCGCCUUCUUCCUCGCCUCCUACGCGCUCGGCGUGCUCAGCUACGGCGUGGUGGCGCCGUCGGGGCUCUUCGUCCCCAUCAUCCUCACCGGCGCCACCUACGGCCGCCUGGUGGCGAUGCUGCUGGGCAGGCACUCCGGCCUCGACCACGGCCUGGUGGCCAUCCUCGGCUCGGCGUCCUUCCUGGGCGGCACGCUCCGCAUGACGGUGUCCGUGUGCGUCAUCAUCGUGGAGCUGACCAACAACCUGCUCCUCCUGCCGCUGGUCAUGCUCGUCCUGCUCAUCUCCAAGACCGUCGCCGACUCCUUCAACGCCAGCAUCUACGACCUCAUCGUGCGCCUCAAGGGCCUGCCCUACCUCGACGGCCACGCUGAGCCCUACAUGCGGCAGCUCAGCGUGGGCGACGUGGUGGUCGGGCCCCUACGGAGCUUCAACGGCGUCGAGAAGGUCGGCCACAUCAUGCACGUCCUCCGCACCACGGGCCACCACGCGUUCCCGGUCAUCGACGAGCCGCCCUUCGCCACCGCGCCCGUGCUCUACGGCCUCGUGCUCAGGGCGCACCUCCUCGUGCUCCUCAGGAAGCGGGAGUUCCUGCCGGCGCAGGAGCGGUACCCCAAGGAGUACAGCAUCGCGGCGAGGUUCGAGGCGCAGGACUUCGACAAGCGCGGCUCCGGCAAGCAGGACACGGUGGACGGCGUGGAGCUGUCGCCGGAGGAGAUGGAGAUGUACGUGGACCUGCACCCGUUCACCAACGCCUCGCCAUACACCGUCGUGGAGACCAUGUCGCUGGCCAAGGCGCUCAUCCUCUUCCGCGAGGUCGGCCUCCGCCACCUCCUCGUCGUGCCCAAGGCCUGCGACAGGUCGCCGGUGGUGGGGAUCCUGACGAGGCACGACUUCAUGCCGGAGCACAUCCUGGGGCUGCACCCGGUGCUGCUCGGCGGCAAGUGGAAGCGGCUCCGGUGGCACAAGGCCGCCGUCGCCAAGUACUUCCGCGACCUCAUCGUGCGGCUCGCCAACUGCGGCUGA